Molecule: long non-coding RNA, 579 nt
Filed under: Canis lupus familiaris (dog)
Lineage: Eukaryota; Metazoa; Chordata; Mammalia; Carnivora; Canidae
Description: lncRNA (ENSCAFG00000048000.2)
Source: RNAcentral
CCCGCCUCCUCCCUCCUCCCUCCCUCCCUUCCCAUCUGCCACCCCCAUCGCCAUGGCCGCAGACCCCCGAAAAUGCCAGGGUCUUCCAUGUGGCCACACAGGAGCCGAGCUGCAGUGGACGCUGUGCCUUUGCAGCCAAGAAAUCCUCAUUCCUCAGGAAACUGACCUGUGCAGCCUCCCAGCUGAGGGCCUGAUUCCCCAGGUAUGUAGCUGAGGACAGCUGGACACUGUCAGGCCUGCACCUGGCCAGCUCCCUCCAUCUCCCCACCCUACCUCCCCGAGAGACCUUCUCCCAAAUUCUGCUGUCGGAGGUGGCCACGGGGCUCCGAACCACAGCCCUGAGCCCGGGAGGGGGUGUGGGCAGCAGGGCAGCAGCAGCCAGGCCCCUCCUUCUGCAACAUCUCCACAGCAUCUACCUGUGCCAGCGAUGGAACAGUUAGGGUUUUAAUCAGGAAAAUAUGUCGGUUCCCAAACGUUUUCUGUUAGAUGUCUCAGGAGGAGGCAUUGGCUUAUCUCACCCCCUGCCAUGACCCUCUGAAAAGGUUCUGGUAUUACCAGGUCACAGAGGGAGAGACCAAG